GACGAACGCUGGCGGCGUGCCUAAUACAUGCAAGUAGAACGCUGAAGGAGGAGCUUGCUUCUCUGGAUGAGUUGCGAACGGGUGAGUAACGCGUAGGUAACCUGCCUGGUAGCGGGGGAUAACUAUUGGAAACGAUAGCUAAUACCGCAUAAGAGUAGAUGUUGCAUGACAUUUACUUAAAAGGUGCAAUUGCAUCACUACCAGAUGGACCUGCGUUGUAUUAGCUAGUUGGUGAGGUAACGGCUCACCAAGGCAACGAUACAUAGCCGACCUGAGAGGGGGAUCGGCCACACUGGGACUGAGACACGGCCCAGACUCCUACGGGAGGCAGCAGUAGGGAAUCUUCGGCAAUGGACGGAAGUCUGACCGAGCAACGCCGCGUGAGUGAAGAAGGGUUUCGGAUCGUAAAGCUCUGUUGUAAGAGAAGAACGAGUGUGAGAGUGGAAAGUUCACACUGUGACGGUAUCUUACCAGAAAGGGACGGCUAACUACGUG
This 495-nucleotide ribosomal RNA is filed under the name uncultured bacterium. RNAcentral's name for it is "partial 16S ribosomal RNA". It matches the Rfam family "Bacterial small subunit ribosomal RNA", at positions 28 to 507 of the family's 1533-position model. The record is from RNAcentral.